This 1222-nucleotide ribosomal RNA is filed under the name human gut metagenome. RNAcentral's name for it is "bacterial LSU rRNA". It matches the Rfam family "Bacterial large subunit ribosomal RNA", at positions 1567 to 2810 of the family's 2925-position model. The record is from RNAcentral.
GAUCGAGGGAAGUUAGUACCGAAGUCUGAGAUGGAAGAUGGCGAGAAAAGCUGUGUGUAUUUCUGAGGUGCCCGUACCGCAAACCGACACAGGUAGGUAGGAAGAAGAUUCUAAGGCCAACGGGAGAAGGGUUGUUAAGGAACUCGGCAAAUUGACCCCGUAACUUCGGGAGAAGGGGUGCUCCAGAGAUGGAGCCGCAGAGAAUCGGCCCAAGCAACUGUUUACCAAAAACACAGGUUUGUGCUAAAUCGAAAGAUGACGUAUACGAGCUGACGCCUGCCCGGUGCUGGAAGGUUAAGAGGAGAUGUGCAAGCAUUGAAUCGAAGCCCCAGUGAACGGCGGCCGUAACUAUAACGGUCCUAAGGUAGCGAAAUUCCUUGUCAGGUAAGUUCUGACCCGCAUGAAAGGCGUAAUGAUUUGGGCACUGUCUCAACAGCCCGCCCGGCGAAAUUGUAGUACCGGUGAAGAUGCCGGUUACCCGCGACAAGACGGAAAGACCCCAUGGAGCUUUACUGUAGCCUAAUAUUGGGUUUCGAUGUUGCAUGCACAGGAUAGAUGGGACACAGGGAAACAAGUGCUUUGGCAUUUGUGGAGUGGCCGUUGGGAUACCAUCCUUGCGAUAUUGGAAUUCUAACCUGCGCCUUUGAAUCAAGGCGGGGGACAUUGUUAGGUGGGCAGUUUGACUGGGGCGGUCGCCUCCUAAAGAGUAACGGAGGCGUUCAAAGGUUCGCUCAGCUUGAACGGAAAUCAAGCAAAAGAGUGCAAACGCAGAAGCGAGCCUAACUGCGAGACUGACGGGUCGAGCAGUAACGAAAGUUGGAGUUAGUGAUCCGGUGGUAUGUGAGUGGAAAUGCCAUCGCUCAACGGAUAAAAGUUACCCUGGGGAUAACAGGCUGAUCUCCCCCAAGAGUCCACAUCGACGGGGAGGUUUGGCACCUCGAUGUCGGCUCAUCGCAUCCUGGGGCUGUAUUCGGUCCCAAGGGUUUGGCUGUUCGCCAAUUAAAGCGGUACGCGAGCUGGGUUCAGAACGUCGUGAGACAGUUCGGUCCCUAUCUGUCGUGGGCGCAGGAUAUUUGAUGGGAGCUGUCCCUAGUACGAGAGGACCGGGACGGACGUACCUCUGGCGCACCAGUUGUUCUGCCAAGAGCAUAGCUGGGCAACUACGUACGGAUCGGAUAAACGCUGAAAGCAUCUAAGCGUGAAGCCGACCCAAAGAUAAGAU